UACGUAGGGUGCGAGCGUUAAUCGGAAUUACUGGGCGUAAAGCGUGCGCAGGCGGUUUGUUAAGACAGAUGUGAAAUCCCCGGGCUUAACCUGGGAACUGCAUUUGUGACUGGCAAGCUAGAGUAUGGCAGAGGGGGGUAGAGUUCCACGUGUAGCAGUGAAAUGCGUAGAGAUGUGGAGGAAUACCGAUGGCGAAGGCAGCCCCCUGGGCCAAUACUGACGCUCAUGCACGAAAGCGUGGGGAGCAAACAGG
This 253-nucleotide ribosomal RNA is filed under the name uncultured bacterium. RNAcentral describes it as "partial 16S ribosomal RNA". It matches the Rfam family "Bacterial small subunit ribosomal RNA", at positions 524 to 776 of the family's 1533-position model. The record is from RNAcentral.